RNAcentral lists this ribosomal RNA (256 nucleotides) under uncultured bacterium. RNAcentral describes it as "partial 16S ribosomal RNA". It matches the Rfam family "Bacterial small subunit ribosomal RNA", at positions 524 to 776 of the family's 1533-position model. The record is from RNAcentral.
GACGUAGGUGGCGAACGUUAUCCGGAAUUAUUGGGCGUAAAGGGUGCGUAGGCGGCAUGAUAAGUUAUUGGUGGGAAAUUGAGGCUCAACCUCGUGGAAACUAAUAAUACUGUUUUGCUUGAGUACAGGAGAGGUUAACGGAACUCCAUGUGGAGCGGUAAAAUGUGUAGAUAUAUGGAAGAACAUCAAUAACGGCGAAGGCAGUUAACUAUUCUGUUACUGACGUUGAGGCACGAAAGCGUGGGGAGCAAAACGG